UACGGAAGGCAGCAGUGGGGAAUAUUGCACAAUGGGCGCAAGCCUGAUGCAGCCAUGCCGCGUGUAUGAAGAAGGCCUUCGGGUUGUAAAGUACUUUCAGUCGUGAGGAAGGUGUUAAGGUUAAUAACCUUAGCAAUUGACGUUAGCGACAGAAGAAGCACCGGCUAACUCCGUGCCAGCAGCCGCGGUAAUACGGAGGGUGCGAGCGUUAAUCGGAAUUACUGGGCGUAAAGGGCACGCAGGCGGUUAAUUAAGUUGGAUGUGAAAUCCCCGGGCUUAACCUGGGAAUGGCAUUCAAGACUGGUUAGCUAGAGUCUUGUAGAGGGGGUAGAAUUCCAUGUGUAGCGGUGAAAUGCGUAGAGAUGUGGAGGAAUACCGGUGGCGAAGGCGGCCCCUGGACAAAGACUGACGCUCAUGUGCGAAGCGUGGAGAGCAAACAGGAUUAGAUACC
RNAcentral lists this ribosomal RNA (451 nucleotides) under uncultured bacterium. RNAcentral describes it as "bacterial SSU rRNA". It matches the Rfam family "Bacterial small subunit ribosomal RNA", at positions 340 to 786 of the family's 1533-position model. The record is from RNAcentral.